Molecule: ribosomal RNA, 497 nt
Filed under: uncultured bacterium
Lineage: Bacteria
Description: partial 16S ribosomal RNA
Rfam family: Bacterial small subunit ribosomal RNA
Source: RNAcentral
GACGAACGCUGGCGGCGUGCCUAAUACAUGCAAGUAGAACGCUGAAGAGAGGAGCUUGCUCUUCUUGGAUGAGUUGCGAACGGGUGAGUAACGCGUAGGUAACCUGCCUUGUAGCGGGGGAUAACUAUUGGAAACGAUAGCUAAUACCGCAUAACAAUAGGUGACACAUGUCAUUUAUUUGAAAGGGGCAAUUGCUCCACUACAAGAUGGACCUGCGUUGUAUUAGCUAGUAGGUGAGGUAACGGCUCACCUAGGCGACGAUACAUAGCCGACCUGAGAGGGUGAUCGGCCACACUGGGACUGAGACACGGCCCAGACUCCUACGGGAGGCAGCAGUAGGGAAUCUUCGGCAAUGGGGGCAACCCUGACCGAGCAACGCCGCGUGAGUGAAGAAGGGUUUCGGAUCGUAAAGCUCGGUUGUAAGUCAAGAACGAGUGUGAGAGUGGAAAGUUCACACUGUGACGGUAGCUUACCAGAAAGGGACGGCUAACUACGUG